This 492-nucleotide ribosomal RNA is filed under the name uncultured bacterium. Its description in RNAcentral is "partial 16S ribosomal RNA". It matches the Rfam family "Bacterial small subunit ribosomal RNA", at positions 29 to 507 of the family's 1533-position model. The record is from RNAcentral.
AGUGAACGCUGGCGGUAGGCCUAACACAUGCAAGUCGAACGGCAGCACAGUAAGAGUUUGCUCUUACGGGUGGCGAGUGGCGGACGGGUGAGGAAUACAUCGGAAUCUACUUUUUCGUGGGGGACAACGUAGGGAAACUUACGCUAAUACCGCAUACGACCUACGGGUGAAAGCAGGGGAUCUUCGGACUUUGCGCGAUUGAAUGAGCCGAUGUCGGAUUAGCUAGUUGGCGGGGUAAAGGCCCACCAAGGCGACGAUCCGUAGCUGAUCUGAGAGGAUGAUCGGCCACACUGGAACUGAGACACGGUCCAGACUCCUACGGGAGGCAGCAGUAGGGAAUAUUGGGCAAUGGGCGCAAGCCUGAUCCAGCCAUGCCGCGUGAGUGAAGAAGGCCUUCGGGUUGUAAAGCCCUUUUGUUAGGGAAGAAAAGCAGCAUAUUAAUACCCCGCUGUUCUGACGGUACCCAAAGAAUAAGCACCGGCUAACUUCGUG